RNAcentral lists this long non-coding RNA (940 nucleotides) under Brassica napus (rape). Its description in RNAcentral is "long non-coding RNA (BNAP_LNC014551)". The record is from RNAcentral. Lineage: Eukaryota; Viridiplantae; Streptophyta; Magnoliopsida; Brassicales; Brassicaceae.
CAUAUAUCAAACUGUGAGAAAUGUACAUAAAGAAUCCUACACACUACAGUCUACAGUUAAGAGAAUCAACAAUCAGUUCAAAAAGUUAUGUUGCGUAAAAAAUGAAAAAUUCAUAAAUGAAUCUUAAUAUACAUAUUAGUGCUCAGAUUCAUGACAAAAUCUAAAAUGCAAAAUUUCAAGUAGCUUACAAACAGAAAAAUGUAAUUACAUUUAACUUUUGCAAAAAAUAAACAUGAUAUAUUAAAUUUUGCAAAAAGAAAUAUGAUAUGUUUACUUUCAGUUGAAUAACAAGGGCAUUAGUAGCUUGGAUUAAUAACAUCUGUUUCCUCACCGUCACGAAUUUCUUACAGAUAAACAACUGAAACAAUAAAGCAAUAAUGUUAUUAACAAAAAAAAAAGAAUCAAGAAGUGAAACACUGAAAGAAAGACGACUGCAAGGGUCAAAUCGCUUACCUUUCACAUUUAUACUCAUUGUUGUCAUCUAAAAUGUUCAGCUAAAAGAAAUUUUGCAUUGAUUCAUUCACUGAGUUAUUGUAAAAUCUUCUUUGACGUAUCGAUUGUAUGAUUAUGAUUGACACUAAGAGAUUAUGCUGAUCUUUUACCAACUAUGCAAAAAAAAACUCAUAUCAUAUUUCCUCUCUCUCUAUCUACGUAUCAGUCACCUAUCAAAUAUUCAAAAACAUAUCUAACCUUUCAUACUUCUCUUCUCCUUUUUUCACGAGAGAUUAAUGCAGUUUUACUAAAAAAAAAUAAAUAAAAAAAAAAAAAGCACCAACGGCCUUAGGUUUUUAAUGAUAAAUUAGACAUCUUAUAUCAAAAUUAAUUAGUAAAGCAUCAUAAAUGGACAAAACACAAAACCAAAUAAGUAAUCACAUUCAAAUUAUUGAUUGGAUCCGUCGCAAAUAACUUAUAUGCAAUAUGUUAUAUGCAAUAUGAUGAA